This 472-nucleotide ribosomal RNA is filed under the name uncultured bacterium. RNAcentral describes it as "bacterial SSU rRNA". It matches the Rfam family "Bacterial small subunit ribosomal RNA", at positions 355 to 825 of the family's 1533-position model. The record is from RNAcentral.
UGGGGAAUAUUGGACAAUGGGGGGAACCCUGAUCCAGCAAUGCCGCGUGUGUGAAGAAGGCCUGAGGGUUGUAAAGCACUUUCAGAGGGGAGGAGGACUAUUAGGUUAAGAGCUAGAUAGUUGGACGUUACCCUCAGAAGCAGCACCGGCUAACUUCGUGCCAGCAGCCGCGGUAAUACGAAGGGAGCAAGCGUUGUUCGGAUUUACUGGGCGUAAAGGGUGCGUAGGCGGUUUGGUAAGUUGGACGUGAAAGCCCUGGGCUUAACCCGGGAACUGCGUUCAAAACUACUAGACUCGAGUAUGGAAGAGGUUGGUGGAAUUCCAAGUGUAGAGGUGAAAUUCGUAGAUAUUUGGAAGGACACCCGUGGCGAAGGCGGCCAACUGGUCCAUAACUGACGCUGAGGCACGAAAGCGUGGGGAGCAAACAGGAUUAGAUACCCACGUAGUCCCUGAGCGGGCUGGCAAGGCGCAU